RNAcentral lists this ribosomal RNA (465 nucleotides) under uncultured bacterium. RNAcentral's name for it is "partial 16S ribosomal RNA". It matches the Rfam family "Bacterial small subunit ribosomal RNA", at positions 28 to 507 of the family's 1533-position model. The record is from RNAcentral.
GAUGAACGCUGGCGGCGUGCUUAACACAUGCAAGUCGAACGGAAAGGCUCCUGCUUGCAGGGGUACUCGAGUGGCGAACGGGUGAGUAACACGUGGUGAUCUGCCCUGCACUUCGGGAUAAGCCUGGGAAACUGGGUCUAAUACCGGAUAGGACGAUGGUUUGGAUGCCAUUGUGGAAAGUUUUUUCGGUGUGGGAUGAGCUCGCGGCCUAUCAGCUUGUUGGUGGGGUAAUGGCCUACCAAGGCGUCGACGGGUAGCCGGCCUGAGAGGGUGUACGGCCACAUUGGGACUGAGAUACGGCCCAGACUCCUACGGGAGGCAGCAGUGGGGAAUAUUGCACAAUGGGCGCAAGCCUGAUGCAGCGACGCCGCGUGGGGGAUGACGGCCUUCGGGUUGUAAACUCCUUUCGCUAGGGACGAAGCGCAAGUGACGGUACCUGGAGAAGAAGCACCGGCUAACUACGUG